Mus musculus (house mouse) is the source of this 845-nucleotide long non-coding RNA. RefSeq annotates it as predicted gene, 40085. NCBI's taxonomy places the organism in Eukaryota, Metazoa, Chordata, Mammalia, Rodentia, Muridae. The record is from RefSeq and is marked validated. The transcript has 2 exons.
AGUGUGCCGCUGCUUCACAGAAAAGGAUCUGAGGGAAACGUGCCACCGGCCAAGGAAGGCCUCAGAGAGGAGGUGACAGGCCUGGGGAGAGGAGGAGGGAGAGCAAACAGUUGAGGUUUCAGAAGUAGAGAGCGGAGAUAAGAAAAGAUAAGACAGGAUAAGAGAGGUGCCUGGGACAGAGCCCAGGCUCUUAUUGAGCAGGCAGGGAUGGGGUGGGGUGCAGUUAACACUCUCAGCACUCUUUCCUUCUCAGCAUCUCUGGAACAGUCUGCAGCUCUGGGUUACCCUCUGCUAACAAGGCAGCCUUCCCAGCAUCCCCCAGCCCCAUCUGCCUUUGCAACUCCCCUGUGCAAAGUGGUCUCAGCACUAAUCGUCCUGGCGCUCCCAACAGGCACAGUUUGCCAAGGUGUACCAUAUAACCACGGCAGGCACUCUUCACGUGUUCCCUUUUGCCUGCCAGGAAAUACCGAGGAAACACAAAGUGAAAAGGCGAGCUCUUCGUUCAAAAACCAAGACCUUCAAGACAUCACAUGCAGACACAUCAGAACCUACAAACAAAUCAUUCCAUCAUGAGAUAGCCUAAGUAGGAGCAAUCAUCUCAUGGGGAACAAGACUGCUCCCUUAGCAAGAAGGACUUCUUUGGGCCACAUGGCUGAAUCAGACUGUAGAGAAUGAGUAACUGGAACACUCUUGGACCAAGAUGGCUUACUUAUAUGUGCUUCUCAUCACUGCCUCAAUUCUUCCUCUAUUUAAUGUUAAAACUCAUGCCAGGACCAUGAAGGUGGGCUCCAGUGUUUUGUGCCUCUCUAAACAACUGUUUUGAUAAAAUAUUUUCUUGCCUCUCA